Molecule: ribosomal RNA, 253 nt
Filed under: uncultured bacterium
Lineage: Bacteria
Description: partial 16S ribosomal RNA
Rfam family: Bacterial small subunit ribosomal RNA
Source: RNAcentral
UACAGAGGUCCCGAGCGUUGUUCGGAUUCAUUGGGCGUAAAGGGUGCGUAGGCGGCUUCCUAAGUUUGAUGUGAAAUCCUGGGGCUCAACCCUGGAACUGCAUUGAAUACUGGGAGGCUAGAGUACUGGAGAGGAAACUGGAAUUUACGGUGUAGCAGUGAAAUGCGUAGAGAUCGUAAGGAAGACCAGUGGCGAAGGCGAGUUUCUGGACACGUAUUGACGCUGAGGUGCGAAAGCGUGGGGAGCAAACAGG